GGGGAAUAUUGGACAAUGGGCGAAAGCCUGAUCCAGCAAUGCCGCGUGAGUGAUGAAGGCCUUAGGGUUGUAAAGCUCUUUUACCCGGGAUGAUAAUGACUGUACCGGGAGAAUAAGCCCCGGCUAACUCCGUGCCAGCAGCCGCGGUAAUACGGAGGGGGCUAGCGUUGUUCGGAAUUACUGGGCGUAAAGCGCACGUAGGCGGCUUUGUAAGUUAGAGGUGAAAGCCCGGAGCUCAACUCCGGAAUUGCCUUUAAGACUGCAUCGCUUGAAUCAUGGAGAGGUGAGUGGAAUUCCGAGUGUAGAGGUGAGAUUCGUAGAGAUUCGGCGGAACACCAGUGGCGAAGGCGACUCACUGGCCCGAUACUGACGCUGAGGCGCGAAAGCGUGGGGAGCAAA
RNAcentral lists this ribosomal RNA (399 nucleotides) under uncultured bacterium. RNAcentral describes it as "bacterial SSU rRNA". It matches the Rfam family "Bacterial small subunit ribosomal RNA", at positions 356 to 772 of the family's 1533-position model. The record is from RNAcentral.